ACACGAGUGGCGAACGGGUGAGUAACACGUGGGUGAUCUGCCCUGCACUUCGGGAUAAGCCCGGGAAACUGGGUCUAAUACCGGAUAUGACUGCAGCAUGCAUGUGCUGUGGUGGAAAGAUUUAUCGGUGCAGGAUGGGCCCGCGGCCUAUCAGCUUGUUGGUGGGGUAAUGGCCUACCAAGGCGACGACGGGUAGCCGGCCUGAGAGGGCGACCGGCCACACUGGGACUGAGACACGGCCCAGACUCCUACGGGAGGCAGCAGUGGGGAAUAUUGCACAAUGGGCGCAAGCCUGAUGCAGCGACGCCGCGUGAGGGAUGACGGCCUUCGGGUUGUAAACCUCUUUCAGCAGGGACGAAGCGUGAGUGACGGUACCUGCAGAAGAAGCACCGGCCAACUACGUGCCAGCAGCCGCGGUAAUACGUAGGGUGCAAGCGUUGUCCGGAAUUACUGGGCGUAAAGAGCUCGUAGGCGGUUUGUCGCGUCGUCUGUGAAAACCAGCAGCUCAACUGCUGGCGUGCAGGCGAUACGGGCAGACUUGAGUAUUUCAGGGGAGA
Molecule: ribosomal RNA, 557 nt
Filed under: Rhodococcus sp. br3
Lineage: Bacteria; Bacillati; Actinomycetota; Actinomycetes; Mycobacteriales; Nocardiaceae
Description: bacterial SSU rRNA
Rfam family: Bacterial small subunit ribosomal RNA
Source: RNAcentral